AAAUGAUUUGAAUUUUUUGAAAUUGAUAGAGGUGUUAGUGAAGUGAAGUGAAAAUGGUUGAUGGUUUGACUUGAGAAAAAUGGCUCGACAUUGGAUCGAGCCGCUUAUUAUUUCCUUUUUUUUUAAAUGGUUGAUUUUAUUUGUUUUUGUUUAUUAUCUAAUUAAUUAUUUUAUUCUAACUAAUGGAAAAUAAAGCAAUAAAUAUAAUUAAACAAAUUACAAACAAAAGGUGGGGAUACCUUUGACAAUUGAGGAAUAAAGAAAAUAAUAAUAAUAAUAAUAGCGAAUAAUAUUAAAACUGAAAAUAAACAUAAAACAAUAAC
RNAcentral lists this long non-coding RNA (323 nucleotides) under Lathyrus oleraceus (garden pea). RNAcentral's name for it is "Pisum sativum (pea) long non-coding RNA (PSAT_LNC027664)". The record is from RNAcentral. Lineage: Eukaryota; Viridiplantae; Streptophyta; Magnoliopsida; Fabales; Fabaceae.